CCUGCCCACUGAUAAUAUUAAUUUAAUGGCCGCGGUAUUUAUGACCGUGCAAAGGUAGCAUAAUCAUUAGUCUUUUAAUUGAAGGCUUGUAUGAAUGGUUGGACAAAAGGAAAACUGUCUUCUUUAAUAAAAAUUGAAUUUAACUUUUAAGUGAAAAGGCUUAAAUAUUUCAGAGGGACGAUAAGACCCUAUAAAGCUUUUAUAAAAAAUAAAAUUUAAAUUGAGGUUUUAUUAAAGAUUAAGGUUUAUGUUUUAUUAGGUUGGGGCAACAAAGGUAUAAUUAUGUUUAACUGCUUGGUGUAUAAACAAAUAUUCUUGUAUUAAAAUUAAAUGAUCCUUAUUUUUAAAGAUUUUGGAGAUUAAGUUACUUUAGGGAUAACAGCGUUAUUUUUUUUAAGAGUUCAUAUCGAAAAAAGAGUUUGCGACCUCGAUGUUGAAUUAAAAUUUCUAUAUAGUGCAGCUAUUAUAUAAGAGGGUCUGUUCGACCUUUAAUUUUUUACGUGAUCUGAGUU
RNAcentral lists this ribosomal RNA (512 nucleotides) under Tzotzilthelphusa villarosalensis. RNAcentral describes it as "partial large subunit ribosomal RNA". It matches the Rfam family "Archaeal large subunit ribosomal RNA", at positions 1950 to 2680 of the family's 2987-position model. Lineage: Eukaryota; Metazoa; Arthropoda; Malacostraca; Decapoda; Pseudothelphusidae. The record is from RNAcentral.